UUGGGCGUAAGCGCGCGCAGGUGGUUUCUUAAGUCUGAUGUGAAAGCCCACGGCUCAUCCGUGGAGGGUCAUUGGAAACUGGGAGACUUGAGUGCACAAGAGGAAAGUGGAAUUCCAUGUGUAGCGGUGAAAUGCGUAGAGAUAUGGAGGAACACCAGUGGCGAAGGCGACUUUCUGGUCUGUAACUGACACUGAGGCGCGAAAGCGUGGGGAGCAAACAGGAUUAUAUACCCUGGUAGUCCACGCCGUAAACGAUGAGUGCUAAGUGUUAGAGGGUUUCCGCCCUUUACUGCUGAAGUUAACGCAUUAAGCACUCCGCCUGGGGAGUACGGCCGCAAGGCUGAAUACUCAAAGGAAUUGACGGGGGCCCG
This 371-nucleotide ribosomal RNA is filed under the name Bacillus cereus. Its description in RNAcentral is "bacterial SSU rRNA". It matches the Rfam family "Bacterial small subunit ribosomal RNA", at positions 554 to 923 of the family's 1533-position model. The record is from RNAcentral. Lineage: Bacteria; Bacillati; Bacillota; Bacilli; Caryophanales; Bacillaceae.